This 506-nucleotide ribosomal RNA is filed under the name uncultured bacterium. RNAcentral describes it as "partial 16S ribosomal RNA". It matches the Rfam family "Bacterial small subunit ribosomal RNA", at positions 29 to 523 of the family's 1533-position model. The record is from RNAcentral.
AGUGAACGCUGGCGGUAGGCCUAACACAUGCAAGUCGAACGGCAGCACAGGAGAGCUUGCUCUCUGGGUGGCGAGUGGCAGACGGGUGAGGAAUACAUCGGAAUCUACUUUUUCGUGGGGGAUAACGUAGGGAAACUUACGCUAAUACCGCAUACGACCUACGGGUGAAAGCAGGGGACCUCCGGGCCUUGCGCGAUUGAAUGAGCCGAUGUCGGAUUAGCUAGUUGGCGGGGUAAAGGCCCACCAAGGCGACGAUCCGUAGCUGGUCUGAGAGGAUGAUCAGACACACUGGAACUGAGACACGGUCCAGACUCCUACGGGAGGCAGCAGUGGGGAAUAUUGGACAAUGGGCGCAAGCCUGAUCCAGCCAUACCGCGUGGGUGAAGAAGGCCUUCGGGUUGUAAAGCCCUUUUGUUGGGAAAGAAAUCCAGCUGGCUAAUACCCGGUUGGGAUGACGGUACCCAAAGAAUAAGCACCGGCUAACUUCGUGCCAGCCGCCGCAGUAA